CUCUAACCAAUGCACCACCUCGGUUUGUCGGCUUGUCUCUUUUGCAUAAUCUGGGCACUUGCAACCAGUCCACAUUUACAAUGGUUGCAGCAUUCCAGGGCCACAUGGUUGCUAUUUGUGAUCUUCCCAGAGAGCUUCUGACAAGCAACGUCUAUGGAGAUUCUCAAUCAUCCAGGUCAUGGUAGUCCCAAAGGUGUUUUUUCAAGGGCCAACUGGACUUUCUGUUUUUUCUUUGAAGACAUUUCACUUCUCAUCCAAGAAGUUUCUUCAACUCUUGAGGUCUGACAAGCAAUGUCAACAGAAGCUGGAUUUGAUUAACAGCUGGGUAAUUCACUCAACAAUCAUGGCAAAAAAGACAAUAAAAGCAGGCAUGGUUCACUUAAUGGCCACAUCACUUAGCAACGGAAGUUCUGUUCCCAAUUGUGAUCAUAAGUUAUGAUCACAAUUGACCACUGCUCGCCAACACUGCUCUAACCCGUUCUCUUAGCCUUUCUCAGCUCAGUUCAGUUUGGCCCGAACUGCCAUAUGCCAAGGUGGGCUAGAUGUUCCUCCUGCAUUUUUAAACUGUCUUCUGAAAGUCUGAAGCUGAGCCCUAGGAUGCCUACACAUCUCUGUUACACAGGUUCAUUACCUCCCCAUUACAGCGUCUCUCAUCACUCAUUGGGCCAGACGCCGCUGUUCCUGGAGAAGCCAAUCCCUCUAAAUUAUGUCUCCUGCUGUUGCUGUUGCUCCCUUCACCAGUCUUAUCUGCCUAAGGUGAAAACAGUGGGAGGGCAGUCAGCCAAGUCUCUGCUCUUUUUUUUGUAUGUAGUCUGCCCCAGUGGGGUGCCUCCAGAAAUGCUGGAUCUACAACCCUCGAGAAUCUCCAGCCAACGUGCUGGGAUUGUGAUCCCUCUGUUUCUGAAG
This is a non-coding RNA of Pantherophis guttatus, 906 nucleotides long. The record is from RefSeq and is a predicted model, not a curated record. Lineage: Eukaryota; Metazoa; Chordata; Lepidosauria; Squamata; Colubridae.